This is a long non-coding RNA of Protopterus annectens (West African lungfish), 1573 nucleotides long. RefSeq lists it as uncharacterized. The transcript has 2 exons. Lineage: Eukaryota; Metazoa; Chordata; Ceratodontiformes; Protopteridae. The record is from RefSeq and is a predicted model, not a curated record.
AAAAGAGUAGCAGUAGAUCUCAUAAAUAGCCAGAAACUAAUUGUGUUUCUAGGCAUUGACCAUAUUUUGAUACACCGACUUAAUAGUUUUUAUUGUGUUCAUCUGACUCAUGCGUGAGGGAGAAAAGCUGUGCAAAUAAAACAUCAUCAGCCUUUUUGCUGUAGUAAAACAUUAGAUCAGGAGGCUGAAGCCACAGCUAGGAAAAGAAAGUGUAUUAUUUCAUAUUGCUCCUGCUGUGGUUCCUGCCUUCACUGCUGGGACUCUGUCCACUUUGCAUAAAGAAUGAAUACACAUGGAUUUUAGAAAUCAGAAAUUAAACCUCAGGAACUAAGCAGUAGCCAACCAUAAUGAAGCACCUGGAAGUUUUCCUUGAGAUGAUCGUUUGUGGGUUUGUAAAUGCCUGUUAGAAUCGUAAGUGCCAUUAACAUUGUGGAGGAGGACCUGAGUUUCUUGUAAAGGGCUCACUUUGAAUAACAGGCUGUGCGCUCACACCUCCUGAUUCCUCUCUAUGCUGGUAUUAAUCCCUGCUCUGCAAUCUUGGUGAUUGAUUACAUGAAUUAUGUGACUAAAUAGUGCAUCAGCAAAGGAAUAUCGAAAUGGAUUGCCUGUGUAUCGUAACAACAAAGAGUGUGCCUAGGAAUAUUGCACUUUUCUACCUAUCAGGAUCCUCUACCGUAAGGAUUGUCCUUGAGAGCUUCCAUUUUUCUGUUGUUUUACUUUAUAACACAGUGUUCCAUUGGCAUAAUAUUUGCAUCGUGCUGUAUGUGUACCUUAUUGUAUUGAUACAAUGUAUGAAAAUAUGUAUAACAGCUAUACUUGUCAUUUGUACGUAUGGUUUUAUGAAAACUGAAUUUACAGAGCUUUUCAGGCCAUUACCUCUUUGCUUUUCCUGAAGUAGUAGCAUUCUGUUGAAUAGGUGAUCAAGAAAUACUGUACUAACAGCGUUUUAAAUAAGAGGGGUAGUUGAUGAUGAAAGUUGAUGUUAGAAUGCAGAGAUCCUAAAGGCUUUAGUUAUGUGCUGACUAGUCUUUAUAAAACAGAAAUGGCUAUAAAAUAGUUAGACCAUAUGCUAUAAUACAAAAAAAUGUAGAAAGAAUGAGGUUCUGAACUAGAGUCUGCUAAAAUACAAUCAAAAACUAAUUGCCCACUGAUUAUGACUGCAAACAUCAGCAUAGCAUUAGAGCAAAUGUUGGUAUAAAAUCAAAUUAUUGGCUAUAUAGAAACUAAAUUCAUCAAUACAGCAGUGAUAAAAAGUUGGCAUUUAGCUAGAUGUCUAGAAAGAUCAUAUAGUUGCUAACAUGCAUGUGAUUUUCUUCAGUUUAUUGAUGUGCAAUGUAUACAUAGAUGACUGAUAAAAUAUUUUUGCCAGUUUCAGACAUAAGAAUGUACAAAGCAGAAAUGUUUUUGUAUGGCUACUGUAAAUGUGCAAAGAUUAUUGUUGGAAAGCAGAAAAUCCUCACUGUUACAACAUGUAUUGAAUCAGAUAUUAAAUAUAAGUCACAGUUAAAUGUUUGUGUCACAUUAAGUAAUUAAGCAAGGAAAUAAAAUAAGGAAUAAACUGAUUUUCAAAUCA